Molecule: ribosomal RNA, 376 nt
Filed under: uncultured bacterium
Lineage: Bacteria
Description: bacterial SSU rRNA
Rfam family: Bacterial small subunit ribosomal RNA
Source: RNAcentral
UAAUACGAAGGGGGCGAGCGUUGUUCGGAAUUACUGGGCGUAAAGGGCGCGUAGGCGGCCAUCUUUGUCAGGCGUGAAAGCCCUGGGCUCAACCCAGGAAUUGCGCUUGGGACGGGAUGGCUAGAGUUCGGGAGAGGAGAGUGGAAUUCCCAGUGUAGAGGUGAAAUUCGUAGAUAUUGGGAAGAACACCGGUGGCGAAGGCGGCUCUCUGGACCGAUACUGACGCUGAGGCGCGAAAGCGUGGGGAGCAAACAGGAUUAGAUACCCUGGUAGUCCACGCUGUAAACGAUGUGUGCUAGACGUUGGGAAGCCUAGCUUCUCGGUGUCGCAGCUAACGCGGUAAGCACACCGCCUGGGGAGUACGGCCGCAAGGUUA